AGCUACUUUACUUCUAUGAUUCAUAAUUUCUUCAUCUAUAAAAUUAGAAUAAAACUGUCUCAUCUUGACGACCUCAUAGAUCAUUGUGGGGGUGAAACAGUAGAAGGGAAGUGGAAGCACUCUGUAACCCUCAAGAGCAGACUGCAACAAGACCUUGAUUCCAAGGCACAUGAGGUGGCCCUGGGAGGAGCUGUCCUGUCAUAGCUGCCCUGUGUAGGGCCCCCUGAGACUACUUUUGGUUUGGGGGUUUACCCAGAUAUCUAGAGCUCAGAGCUGGGCUUAGCUCAAUGUCACAGCUUCUGGGAUGCAAAAAUGUAGAAUAGAAAAUAGCACAGAGGAGGCUUGGGUACCCCAGGUCUAUGUCUGCACCAGUAGAAACCACCAACCCCACCCCAAAGGAUGGGAAAGUCGAGUGUCUUUAGGCAGGGUUGACGCUAGCCUCCCUCCCUGCUGGUGUUCUGUUCCUGUAUCUCAGAGCAUGCUUAUUCUCUGGGCCUAAACUCCAUCCCUCCUGCUUUAACAUAUAAUCAUUUCAUACUUGAUCAGAGGACACAAUAAUUACAAGCUUUUUCUGAAAUCUCUUCAUUCAACUCCUUUAAUGGGGCACAAGUCAGGAGUGAUGAAAGAAAGGUCCAAAGUGUUCAUUGUCACCCAUGGAGCAAGGACAGUCCAUAUUCUUCACUACUCUGCAUAAUCCUCCUCUUUGUCCCUAUCCUCAGUUCCAGUCCCUGACUGAAUGGCUAAUGGCUUUCUCCCACUGCAAAAAAAAAAAAAAAAAAGCCAUCUGGUCACUUCAUGCGGGCCACCACACUUCUAACGCCCCCAAUCUCACAUACUCCAACCCCUUGCUGCCCUCUGCUGGCACAGGUGUGCCUUGAGCCAAGCUUGGGUGAGAGUGGUU
This 901-nucleotide long non-coding RNA is filed under the name Marmota monax (woodchuck). Lineage: Eukaryota; Metazoa; Chordata; Mammalia; Rodentia; Sciuridae. The record is from RNAcentral.